GUAGGGAAUAUUGGGCAAUGGUCGGAAGACUGACCCAGCCAUGCCGCGUGCAGGAAGACGGCCCUCUGGGUUGUAAACUGCUUUUAUCUGGGAAGAAAAAGGCCAUGCGUGGCAAAUUGCCGGUACCAGAUGAAUAAGCACCGGCUAACUCCGUGCCAGCAGCCGCGGUAAUACGGAGGGUGCGAGCGUUGUCCGGAUUUAUUGGGUUUAGAGGGUGCGUAGGCGGCUGAUUAAGUCAGCGGUGAAAGACUUCGGCUUAACCGGAGCAGUGCCGUUGAUACUGGUUGGCUUGAGUGUCGGAGGGGUACAUGGAAUUGAUGGUGUAGCGGUGAAAUGCAUAGAUACCAUCAGGAACACCGAUAGCGAAGGCAUUGUACUGGCCGACAACUGACGCUGAUGCACGAAAGUGUGGGGAUCGAACAGGAUUAGAUACCCUAGUAGUCC
Molecule: ribosomal RNA, 444 nt
Filed under: uncultured bacterium
Lineage: Bacteria
Description: partial 16S ribosomal RNA
Rfam family: Bacterial small subunit ribosomal RNA
Source: RNAcentral